GGCAUCGCCCUUAUAGCUCAAUGGUAGAGCUCCGGCCUGGAAAGCCAAAGACCAGUGGUUCGAUCCCCGUCCGAACAUACCA
This 82-nucleotide transfer RNA is filed under the name Phytophthora infestans (potato late blight agent). RNAcentral's name for it is "tRNA-Ser". It matches the Rfam family "tRNA", at positions 1 to 61 of the family's 71-position model. Rfam says of the family: Transfer RNA (tRNA) molecules are approximately 80 nucleotides in length. The record is from RNAcentral. Lineage: Eukaryota; Oomycota; Peronosporomycetes; Peronosporales; Peronosporaceae.